UGGGAUUAGUGAAAAUGCUGAGUAUGUUAAGCCUGAGAUGAGGGAAACUCUGGGUUUUCUGUUUCAGAGAGCGAGAUCAGAUUAACCGAAGAUCAGUUACUUCGGCAACUGAUGCUGUGAACCUAACCUCCUCCCGAGGAGUAGUUCAAAUCUCUAUGAUGCAUUUUAUGGGCUCUUCUUUUAUGUGUAAUAUGAUUAAGAUGUUAUGGUAGGCUACAAAUGCACAAAAGGUCCAUUGAAAUUGCUGUUUCAUGCUGAACAAAUCAGGAUGAAAUCUAAAAAUAUUUUAUCAAGUGGUAGCAUAUUAAUAGCCUACUUCUCAUCAUUAACACUGAGUUCAGAUGUGGUGUGUAGUCCACGUAUACAGGGUAAACUCGAGUUAACCACGAACAAAACCUGCUCGGAGCAGUUUAGAGAUGCAGCGUGAACUGCCAUGGACCACAGGUUAACACUUAUCCACCUUUCGUAGUACGGAUUAAUCAGGAAGUUACACCCGACGUCACAAAGUUAUUCCUGAACAUACCUGGAUAAGCCAGUUACCUCGCUUCAUAGUACAGACCACUAGUCUUAGUCUGUUCGUUGUUAGGUUGUAGUUUAUUUGUGUUAUUUAGUUUUCUGUCUGUUAAAUGUUGGUUUGUGUUCUCUAUCUGGUGAUUGUUCAUUUGACAGUGUUUAGUCUUGUGUGCUUGCUUCCUGUUAUGUUUAGUUUGUCUUUCAGUGUUCAGUCUGUCCUGUUUAGUUUUUAUCCAUUGAGUGUUCAGUUUGUGUUUCUGCAUUUUGGUCUGGUCCUGUCUGUUCCCCUCAGUUGGUUUCACCUGCUUGCCUGUGUCUGAUUGCCUCCACCUGGUCUUGGUCCGGCCCUAGUGUUUAAAAUGUUUGCUUGUUCUGCUCAGUCUUUGUUACAUCCUCGUCUGUGUUGAGUGUUCUGUCCCUGUGCUUUUUAGGAUUUACCCCUUUGGAUUGUACCUUGUUCUUUGUUUAUGGAUUUUCCCUUUGGAUUAUGUUUUUGUUUGGAGUAACCUUUGUUUGGACAUUUGCCACUGUGCUCCCAGUAGCGGUGUAUCCAGUAGAUGCUCAUGUCAGUGAAGAACAAGAAACCAGCAAUGCUCAGGAAGACCCCGGACCAGCCUGAAACAGAACAAACCAGUAUGCUAAUGUAACCAUUGUCUCACCCAGAGGAGAUCCGCUGAUGUUGUCAUAAAGUUUGCUGUUUCCCCUGACCUCCCAGAAGAAAAGUGCCACUGUAGGGAAGCUCAUCCAGAAGAUGGCAACAGUUCCUAGCUGAAUCUCUUUUCUUACCUGAUUCUGUCAUUGGGUCAAAGACAAAAUUAGGAUUUGGGAGUUUGCUUUGGAAUUGUUUCCAGGUCUGAUGUUGUGUUAAAUAAUAAAAACAAAAUGGUCACUAACA
Micropterus dolomieu (smallmouth bass) is the source of this 1408-nucleotide long non-coding RNA. RefSeq lists it as uncharacterized. The transcript has 3 exons. The record is from RefSeq and is a predicted model, not a curated record. NCBI's taxonomy places the organism in Eukaryota, Metazoa, Chordata, Actinopteri, Centrarchiformes, Centrarchidae.